Molecule: long non-coding RNA, 7420 nt
Organism: Chiroxiphia lanceolata (lance-tailed manakin)
Lineage: Eukaryota; Metazoa; Chordata; Aves; Passeriformes; Pipridae
Exons: 7
Source: RefSeq, a predicted model, not a curated record
UGGCGGCCCCCACCCACGAGGCUGCCCCGCGCCAGCUUCUGCAGCUCGACGGGCACCACGGCGCUGGGGCAGUGCUUCUCGAUGUAGUCCUGGAAUCCCUGCACUCCCAUGCAAACGCCUGCCUCAGCUGCCAGCAUGCUCCUACAAACCUCCCAGCCUGCACAGAGCACCAGAGCUGAACUCAUGCCAGGAAAGUGCUUGUCUCGUAAGAGAGCUCUGCAUGUUUCAGUUAUGGAAGAGAAAACGGUGCAAAAAACCUGUGUCAGAGGAAGAAUGGCAGAACUAGCCCACUUCAACAUCUCACACAGAUGAAAAAUAGCUCAGAAUUAAAUACAGGUUGGAAGCUUGUCUAAACUGGUCUCUGCUGCAUAUUCCAACAAUUACAAACAUACUUGAAACCAGACAACGUUGUUUUCAUCUGGUAAGGGAAUUGGUUCCCAGAUCAGGAUGAUACAUGAAGAAAAGCAUGCAGAUAAGGCAUCGUUUGCCCAAACAUGUCAUCAGAAACUGACUUCCUAAAGGAACAGGAGGGAGAGUCCUGCAUGCCAGGGCAGCCAGGGCACACCAAUCAUCCACGUGCCAUCCCUGCUUCAGCUCAGGACUCUGUCUUCUGAACCUCAGGUCACCUCCCAACCAUGGUGGUACUGGCUUACCUGGGACAUUUUUGGAGCUUAACAUCAUAACAAGUGUGUCUCUGCAAAGCACUCUGUUUUUAGAAAAACAUCACAUUUCCACAAAGAUACUUUCCCGAUUUCUUUUCCUUAAAUCUGAGUUAUAAUGAGGGUAAGAGGUAUGUGAUUCCUUAAACCUAAAGGAGACAUCCAACGGAAAAAAGCAAUCUUAAUUCUAAAAUGACUGUUUCAGUGAUGACUUGUAAUCUGUGCAGUUUUAUCUGCUUGAUAAUACCCCGCUUAGUGUUAGAUCUAAAAUAAGAAUCAAAUGAGAAAAUCAUGCCUUUGAUAUGCAUUAAGUUAUUCAGUUAGUAAAUUAGUGAAUCUUAUCCUGAGUGUUAUUAGCUAUUAGCAUGUUACACUUCUUGAUGUUGCUCAUGAAGAAUGCAUAUGAAAAUGAGGAAAAAAAUUCCCUUUUGAAGUUCCUGCCACUUGAGUUGUUGACAUUUCUUUUAAUUGGUGAAUGUCCUCUUGAAUGCAGUAUUCCACUGUCUGGUUUUAUGAGAGAUUCUUCAUUUUUAAUUUGUUCUCCUAUUGAUUAGACUUUUUUUGAAUGGGUAGCUCUCAAGAUAAUUAGCCUUUCAAGGGAACCAUGUUCUCCUAAAUAGUUAUUAAUGAGUAUGUCCCCCAUUCAGUACACUUAAGCCUUUUUCAUUAGGGGAAUUUCAAGCUUACAUGUGGGCUGGUUGAACCAGGCCUGGUACCACCAAAGACAGUGGAAAUCACUGCAGAUUUCAGGAAGAACGAGAUCAGACCCUGGGAGUGAAGAAAGAUCAUUUACAUUCUCUUUGUCUUUGGCAGAUGUCUGUUUUCUAGGAGUACUUACAAACAGUUCUUCAGGAUACAGGGUAGAUUGAGAAGGGGGUGAGAUGAGUGAAAGAAAACAAGGUGAUUCCAUGUGAACCAGGACUCCAUCUUCAGAGGAUCCCAUCAGCUGCUGCAGCUGGGCCAAGGAGCCUCAAUUAGUCUGCCUGGUUCCCAGUGCUAGAAGUGUACAGCUCCCUUUUCUUUAAAGCCAAUGUAUGUUACACAAACAUAAACCCCUAAAACCAACAAUCAUUCUUUAUCUGAAGUUACUUUCCCACUAAAGAUCCAAGGAUCUUCAGUCAGAAUAUGCUUUAGUUUAGGAAUUGUUGCCAGUGUUACCCUCACAGUUAAGAGCACACUGGAUAAUAAAAUACUCCAACAUGUCACACACAGCUACAGUGACCUGAUCCCAUUCUGGGUCCUGCUUGGCUCCCCUAAGCCAGUUCUUGUCCCUUCCCUUCCUCUCGUCCUUAACCUUUAACUCUGCCCCGAGCAUUGCCAGGUAUCCUCCUGCUGAAAUACAUUCUUACUUUUGUAUGUCACACUCUGUCCUUUCUGUGUGCUCUUUCAAAACAGACUGAAACAUCCUCAUCCCUUCUGUGCCUCCCCAUAGCUCUCCUGCUGUUUUUCCCUACUACCUCCACACUUGACCAUUAAGGAAUCUCUACCACAAACAUGGAUUUUCCUGCCAUUCCUGGACAGACUUGUCUUCUAUCCAAACCAGAAUCUCGUGGCAUUUCUCUAUGAAGGUGUAGCUGUCUGAUCAAGGACAGUGUCCUAAAGCAGGGGGGUUUAGAGUCUUUCAAGCUCAUGCCAUCAGUUUAUUUCCCACUUUCUGUGAACAGUAUGAUCACUGCUUUUUUUCAUUCCCAUCUGCUGUCUCAACUUCAGCAGAGGUCACACCAUGGGCCAGCCUGGACUGACUGGAUUUAAAUUUGUCCCUUAUUUCUCCAUGACAGAAGUGGCAUUUCAGAUACGUCCUUUUCUAUCGUAACUGAGAACUAAAGCUUUGAACCAGGUUCUGAUGAUCUUAUGGCUCACAUCCAUAACAUUCCUGCUUUCUGGGCUCGACCAAUGCAGUUAGGAUGAUAAAGUAAAAUAAUUUUAUCUAAUUUAUGGCUUUUAUCCUUAGCAGUCUCUUCAGCCUCCUUUUGUUUCCUGCUUCUCUGUCGUUUCAAAUAAGUUAACUGCUCUUUGCUUUCCCAGUGCCCUCCUUGACCCACCUGCCCUAUCCAUCUCUUUCACUAGGAAAUUGCUUGUCCCUCCCACGGGCAGUAAUUCCAGAAUUUCCUCUGUAGCCAAGAAGUCAUUUCACCCACAAAGCUGUCUCCUAAAUCUCCUGAAGAUGCUGUGAGUGGAUCCUUGUUUUCCUGUCCCAUGCACAGAUACGGUGAGCACGACCAACGCAGCCGGCUCUUUGCUUCCACCUCCUCCUGCCUGUCUGUUGGGCUGGUUUGUCCCCAGCUGUCACUUCCCUGCCCUGGGGUUGCUCUUUUCAUCCACAUUUAUGCACAGCCAAUUUCAGUGGGUUUUUAUUCCAUGCUUCAGCUUUCUAUAAGCUACACAAAAUAAUAGUUGGCUGUUUUGUCUCUGCUUGUACUGAUUCUUCAGUCCCUGAAGACCAACAUCUUCCUUGCAAUAGACACGAGUCGUUUUUAGCUCAACAACUUCAGUACGAAAAAACGGGUCAGAAACAUCAACAUCACCUUUCAGGUAGAAAAUCAAUAUGAAAAUAAUGAAAUUGAAAAAAACAAUUUCAAAUAAAGCCCAAGGUGAUCCAACACAGGUUGUAAAAGUCAGAAUAAAUGGCCAACCAAACAACCACUGCAGAGUCGUAACUUAAAGAGAAGCUUGACUUUGGGGAAGAGCAAUGUUUAUAGAGAGGCUAAUUUAAUUUUAUUGAAUACUAUUAAAAUACCUAUUAAAAGUUACAAGUUGUAGUCCAGAAUUCUGCAGUGCAGCUCAGAGGAGAGCAAGCAUGGGCUGUGAGCUGGCCUGACAUGGUGAUCUAUUUCUGAUAUCAUAUAAAAUAAGCUAUUUCAAGAGCGCAUUUCCAGGCAAGCUGCCUGGGUGGAGCCCUGCCCUCACUGCAAUCAACAGUUUUGUCAGUGACACUGGUGAAAUGACGUUUUCCUCUUGUUUUUAGCCUCUGCAAGAUUAAAUAUUGGGCCAGGAAACCCGUAUCAGUUCUAUUGCAUGCAAUACCAGUGAUUUUAAACACAAUAUCUGCUUAGGAUGAUUAUUAAAUGGAAUUUGAAAAGUGAUUUAUUAAGAUAAAUUAUUUUUUUUUUGUUUAUUGCCCAGAUUUCCUAAUUGUGCCAUGUUACUUUGUAUGGUAGCUGCCUCUGCUGUACCAGGACAAAAUAUACACUUAAGCCUUUGGGCAUGAGAGGUGAGUCGUUUCCAUUCCCCAUCCCACUGGAAAAUCAACAAAAGCAAGCCUUUAAUAGUAUGAAUUCCAUUAUGGCCCAGCCUGGCAAGCACCUAAAUCCUGCAAGUGCUAUGAUAAUUUAUCUUUGAACUCGUUAGUAGCACAGCAUAAUUAACAAGUAAGCUGUAGGAACAUGCCGUCGCUCUGUAUUUACACGACAUUUGCUGUGCAGUUGUGGUAUAAUUACAGAGAUUAUACCUGCUCUCUAGAAUAAGAGUACAUGUUGUACCUCAUUUUGUGCCAUUUUACACCAGUGGAGCAGAGCACAGCGUGGUGGAGUUGAACAAGUAUUUCAUUCUGCUGUAGGUAGACGGGUGUGGAUCUGCACAGAGCGCUGCUAUUCAAACCUGCACUGUGGUUUCAGGCAGCUUGGGGUGGCAACCUGGCUUCUGGAGCUCAAGUGAUUUAUAUUUUGGACUGCUGCCCUUUCAGUGAUGUCAGUGAACUUGAAUAUGCAGAUUUAAAAACAGGCAGGCUAGCAUUUGGGUUUUUUCAGUAUAGCAACCUUCCUUUCUCAUGUAUAGUAUUGUAUGUUUCUAUAGUAAUUACAGGAAAUGCAUGGCAAGAAUGUAUCUUCUUACAAAGAUUUCAUUUUUUAGAUUUGUUUUAUGCCAGCACAUCCCCAUUUCUCUGCCCUAAAACCCCAUUGGCAUCACCGUACCAAAUGUGAAGUCACAUCACGUAGGCACUGGGAAAAAAAUACAAGCAAAUGAUGAAAAGUGCAAAGAAAUAUGCUGUGCCUCUGAGUUGGUCACAUUUUAUGUGAUUCAGCGUAAACUGUUUUCCUGUUUUCAUAGUGGACAGCAAGAGACAAUGGAAGAGAUGCCCAUCCGUGUCCCAUUUAUGGUCACAAGCAUCAUAAUCUAUGAAUUUCAUGACUUUUCCAUUUCCAUUUUCCUACAACCAUCACAGAGUUCUGGGCUGGCAGCUGCAGCAGCCAUUUACAGUAGCUGAAAUACCAGCAGAGCGUUUCCCCUGCACACCACCCAGAGGCAAGGCCUGUAUUUUACAAAUGCCUUCAAAGCAAACAUUUCAGGCCAACUGUGAGGCUUGGGAUUGAAAUUCAUACUCUGGAGUACGACGGCACUUGGUGCCUGAGUUGACUUUUACCUCCUUUUCCAUGUUGUCAGAGUCACUCCAAUGCUUUUCUUUGUGAGAGGGCACAUGGUAACAACCCCUGAAUCUUCCUGAACAGUGCAAUCAUUCUUUUAAACUUUUAUCUUAAAAGACAGUCUUUUAUAGUCUGAGAAGGGCAGUUUCCUCCAUCUAAAAAAAUGGAGAAAUGAGAGCUUUGCACUGACUCCAGCAUGGUCCAGGUCGGACUCUUCAGCUCGGGUUUAGAUACACCCUUGUUUUUCAUUCAAGUGUAACAAUAACCAGGAGAAUCCUGCCAAUAUUUCUGGGAAUGAGGUAAUUUUUAAAUGGUGAAAUUGUGCAUCAUUUCAGUCAUAAUUUGGAACCCAACCACUUCAUCUGCCAUUGAAAGCCUCAUCUCUCACAAGGGAUGUUUUAUGAGACAGAAAUUGUAAUGACGGGAUGAGACAAAAGCUCUGGCGAGGAGCAGACUUGAGUCACAAAGUGGUAAAAUAAUGUUCUCUGUAGGGUUGGAAAGCUGAUCUUCGAGUUAGAAUGGAAAUUUACAGAUGCACGUGAACUGCAGGCAUCUCCAUGAGUGUGUUCCCCAAGUCUUAAAUAAUGUUCAGUGAAAUGUGGUUUCUGCAUGAAUUUUCUGUGUUCAGAAGCAGGAUUGUUCUCGGGGAGAAUACUCAAAACCGGCUCUUUUGAUGUUUUGUUCACAGAAACAGAUACAUCAUGCAAGUUCAUACAUACAGGGAAUGGAACUGGGACGAAUGUUUGAAGACUUCUCCCAACAAAGCACUCCCAAAUGAUUUAUGGCAGGAGUUACUUGCAGAGUGAUUACAACAUGUGUGUCUGGAAAGGAAAUGUUAAAAGGAAAUCAAUCUGCUUGUGGACAAAUAACGAAAAGAGGAAAAGGAAAAAUUCCUCUAACAAAUAUGAAACUGCAAAUUAUUCACUCAGCUCAGUUGGCAACAACCAAUUUUUGUGGUAGUAGGAGCUUGUAGAGUAGGAGGUAACUGUUUGAACAAUGAUUGAUUUGGUAUCUUAUAUUGCAAUUCUGGAAGGGGUUCAACAUCUAAUUUCAAAGCCAUUUUCCUCCUUUUACCCAGUAAAGAAAACAAAAUGAUAGUUGAUGUCUGUGAGCUGUUUUGGGCAGAUAGGAUCUAUUUUGUGUCCUCUGGACACUGACAAUGGCUGGCUCAUACGAAAGAACAGUUAUUUAUUAGAAAAGAUCUCUCUUGCCAGAAAAAAACCCAAUCAAAACCUGCCCGAGGAAGGAUAUUACCUUCGUAAUCCUUUUUGCAUCAUUCCAGAAAAGACACAUGGGUCUGAACUCGGUGCAUCUUUGGGUUGUGGAGCCUUGUGUAAGCUGCACCUCCACCAGCCCAUCUUUCAGUUCACAGUAAUAAAACAAUCACUGAUUUAUUUCCCUCUUGGAAGAAUACAAAACACAUUUUGGACAUCUCUCACCUAAGACCACCUUUUGUCUCUCUUUCCCCACUCUUGGGAGGUAGGCAGCCACCCUGUGAGAGGCUCUGGAAUGCUGCAGUGGGAUGCCAGCAGUGAGUGUUGUCUUCUGCUCAAGACAGAGUGACUGUAGCAUGCUCUGUUUAUGCCUCUGGAGUGGUGGAUCUGAGCUCAGCAUUCAGUUCUCCUUAACUCCUUACAUGUGUAUUCUCAAUUCAAUAUGCAAUUCCUAGUUUAAUUCCUGAGCAGGCACGUGCUGUCUUCCCAAGGCAUAAAGAUGCGAGGGAAUCCACUUCAUCCCUGCUUCUUUACUUCACAAAAACCUUAAAAUGCUAAAUCCAUAAAUAGGCAUUACAGCACAAUCUUUGAGUGAAUGAUCUCCAACAUUACUGCAGAUCUUAGUCAUAGUGAAAGCUUUUACAAGCUACUUUGAGCUAAUGGUAGAAUAGUUUUCAUUUAAAGCAGUGAUGUGUUCCUUCCCACAAAUGCUAAUUGCCAUAAUUCUAUUGUAAGUUCUGGGCUUAGUUCUGGGCUGAGCUGAGUUAGCUCCUUAUAACUUAACACUAAUCAUUGACCAGAGAUUAAUUUUACUAUUUCUGUGGUUUUGGAGAGAGAGUUACCAGGACUGAUACACUUCCAUGUCCACCAAAGGCAACAAUGGAAACAAGGUGUAUUUCUGCAAGAAUGUUCUAGGCAACCUCUUCAAAAACAGAAGGAUGUGCUGCAGAAGGUGAUGUUCAGGAGCCAUUUCACCAGCCCACAAGAAUAUGGGGUGAGGGUAUUUGCAUCCAUCUGAGCUGUGCCCAAACCAUCGUGAGUUCCUGACUCUUAUACCUUUCCUCCCAUGCUGCAAAUCCACAUUAGAUUCAGACUACUUGAAAUGUCUGUGGAUGGCAAUGCCAGUCCACAGCUGGUGAAUGUCCUGCUCACCACUGGGGGCCUUACAGAAUCACAGGAUAUGCUG